RNAcentral lists this ribosomal RNA (506 nucleotides) under uncultured bacterium. RNAcentral's name for it is "bacterial SSU rRNA". It matches the Rfam family "Bacterial small subunit ribosomal RNA", at positions 569 to 1071 of the family's 1533-position model. The record is from RNAcentral.
GCGUAGGUGGUUUAAUAAGCGAAUAGUGAAAUCUGGUGGCUCAACCAUUCAGACUAUUAUUCGAACUGUUGGACUCGAGAGCAGAAGAGGUAGCUGGAAUUUCUAGUGUAGGAGUGAAAUCCGUAGAUAUUAGAAGGAACACCGAUGGCGUAGGCAGGCUACUGGGCUGUUUCUGACACUGAGGCACGAAAGCGUGGGGAGCGAACCGGAUUAGAUACCCGGGUAGUCCACGCCGUAAACGAUGGAUACUAGCUGUUUGGGGUAUCGACCCCCUGAGUAGCGAAGCUAACGCGUUAAGUAUCCCGCCUGUGGAGUACGAUCGCAAGAUUAAAACAUAAAGGAAUUGACGGGGACCCGCACAAGCGGUGGAUCAUGUUCUUUAAUUCGAUGAUAACCGAUAAACCUUACCAGGUCUUGACAUCCUUGGAAUCUUUCAGAAAUGAGAGAGUGCUUUUUAAGAGCCAAGUGACAGGUGAUGCAUGGCCGUCGUCAGCUCGUGUCGUGAG